AUAAGGGCGUAUGGUGGAUGCCUAGACACAAAAUGGCGAUGAAGGACGCAGCGUAACUGCGAUAAGCUUCGGGGAGGUGUGUAGCAACCUUUGAUCCGGAGAUUUCCGAAUGGGGAAACCCUGCGCGGUAAACCCGCGUAACGCAUGCGAUUAAACGCGCAUGUGAGCAGACCCGCUGAAGUGAAACAUCUCAGUAAGCGGAGGAAUAAAAAUAGAUUAGAUUCCCCAAGUAGCGGCGAGCGAAAAGGGAACAGCCUAAACUUUAGUGUGUGCAGCAAUGUAUACAUUGGAGGGUUGCAAGGAUAGAACAUUUUUGCGUAUCGCAAAGCUCUCGUUAAACAGGGCUGUGCGAUUCGCGGAAGAUUGGUUACAAAUUGCUUCGUUAGUCGAAGCUUCUGGAAAGAAGCGCCAAAGAGCGUGAUAGCCGCGUAGACGAAAACAAAGCAACCAAUUCGUUUUAUUUCUUAAGUACCUCGAGACCACAACAUCUCGAGGGAAUCUGCCAGUACUAUCUGGUAAGGCUAAAUACAUUUUGUGAUCGAUAGUGAACAAGUACCGUGAGGGAAAGGUGAAAAGCAGCCCGGCGAGGGCGCUGAAAUAGUACCUGAAACCAUAUGUCUACAAGGACCAGAAGUCCAACCACUAAGCAAUUAGUGGCGGACAACUGGGUGCCUAUUGAAGAAUGAGCCAACGACUUUACGUUUACUGCUUGUCUAAGUCGCUUCAUGCGACGGAGGCAUAGGGAAACCGAGUGUUAAUAGCGCGUUCUCUUAUUUAUGACCGAGUAGCUGGUAUGCUUCCAGCGUUCGGUCAUAAAUGAGAAGGCAGUAAGUGUAAGACCCGAAGCCAAGGCGAGCUUGCCCUGACCAGGAUGAACCCGAGCGAAAGCGAGGGGGAGGUCCGAACCAGUUGAUUGUGCAAAAUCUUUGGAUGAGUUGGGGUAAGAAGUGAAAAGCUAAUCGAGCUUGGUAAUAGCUGGUUCUCUCCGAAAUAGUUUUAGGACUAGCGUUCCGCAAAAACCGUAUGGGGGUAGAGCACUGGUUGAUUCGUAUUGGGGGAAACCUCGGCGCAUCAGUCAAACUCCGAAUACCAUACGGGACGCGGGAUAGUCAGACUGUGGGGGCAAAGCUCCAUAGUCGCGAGGGGAAUAGCCCAGAUCGCCGUCUAAGGUCCCCAAAUUCUUGCUAAGUGUUAAAGGUAGUCAUUAUCCAUAGACAGAUAGGAGGUUGGCUUAGAGGUAGCCAUCCUUUAAAGAGUGUGUAACAACUCACUAUUCGAUGGGUCGUGGCGCCAAAAAUGUACCGGGGCUAAGCAAGAUACCGACGACACGGGUGUCCAUGACUUCGGUCGUGGACGCGGUAGGAGAGCAUUCUGAUUGCUGUGAAGGUUCAUCCGUGAGGAGGACUGGAGCGUUCAGGAGUGAGAAUGUUGGCAUGAGUAACCAUCAAAUCCGAUGAGAAAUCGGAUCCCCGAAAAUCCAAGGUUUCCGUGGCAAUGGCAAUCAACCACGGGUUAGGCGAUCCUAAGGCAAUGGCGAAAACCGUAGCCGAUGGGUAGCCGGUUAAUAUUCCGGCCCGCGCUUAUUUGUGCGAUGGGGUGACGGAGGAAAAAAGGUUGAGCGUCUCAAUGGUUUGACGUCGCUGAUGAUAAGGAAUGUGUUCUUGGCAAAUCCGGAGCACUGUGUUUAAUCGCGAAUUCCGCGCGUCGGCGUAAGGCCAAGUUUUACUUGGCUAAUUCAACUGAAGAGCCUUCCAAGAAAAACCUCUAAGUUUAGGAUAAGCGCAUCGUACCGUAAACCGACACAGGUGGGUGAGGCGAGAAGCCUCAGGGGAACGAGUGAGUCUUGGUCAAGGAACUAGGCAAAAAAGCGGCCGUACCUUCGGUAUAAGGCCUGCCCGUCACGCCGCAAGGUGUGCAUGGGCUGCAACAAAAGUACAUUUGGCGACUGUUUAUCAAAAACACAGCUUCCUGCUAACUCGUAAGAGGAUGUAUAGGAGGUGACACUUGACCGAUGCGAGAAGGUUAACGGUGGGUGUGUAUCCGAAAGCAAUUUUGGAUAUGCUCACUGCCCGAAGCCCUCGUCAAUGUCAGCGGUAACUAUAACCGUUCUAAGGUGAAUUGCUUGCCUUAGUAAAAUUCGGCUAAAUGCUGGAAUAACCGUAGUAUCCGGUGCUACUCGAAAGAGUGACAAUGCAUCCGGUGCGGUCAAUCAGCAGGGAAGAUUCCGUAAUGGAAAACCCUCAGAGACUAUACGCCGAACUCCGACGAUCAUGUCGGGGAAGAUAUAGUCCGAACUGCAUAGCGAUAUGCAGAGUGCGAUAGAAAUACUCGCACCACCAUUAGUGGCUGGAAUGUAGCCGCUGAUGGCUGUAACAAUAGUUGAGCGCAAUUCCUUUCCGGGUAAGUUCCGGAGCGCAUGAAUAGUGUAACGAUCGAAUGACUGUCUCGACCAAGAGCUCGGUGAAAUUGCGAUUCCCGUGAAGACGCGGGAUACCUGUAACGGGACGAAAAGACCCCGGGAGCUUUACUGUAGUUUGAUAUUGGCUUUAACGUUUUUCUGCGUAGCGUAGUGGCGAGGGUAUGAAACCUGGUUUUCGGAUCAGGUGGACCCGACAAUGAAACAGCCAUCUGGAAAAUGUUAAAAUCUAACCUUUACGGCAAAAACGUAUUGGGACAGUGUCUGAUGGGCAGUUUUAAUGGGGCGUUAUCCUCAACAAAACGAUUGAUAUCCGUUCAAUCGAGGGGGUUAACGUAAUAAAAAAUUCAGCUAUAUGCUGGGACAUCCGUGUAUCUUCGAGUACUCGGGCGCUUCGCGCUCAGUGAAAAUCUUGAAGUGGCAUCCGCCAGUCGGCGGAUCGACGGACAAUCA
Molecule: ribosomal RNA, 2869 nt
Filed under: groundwater metagenome
Description: bacterial LSU rRNA
Rfam family: Bacterial large subunit ribosomal RNA
Source: RNAcentral